RNAcentral lists this non-coding RNA (29 nucleotides) under Mus musculus (house mouse). The record is from RNAcentral. Lineage: Eukaryota; Metazoa; Chordata; Mammalia; Rodentia; Muridae.
UGACUCACAUCUAUCAUCAUAGUAAGCAU